This 29-nucleotide non-coding RNA is filed under the name Mus musculus (house mouse). The record is from RNAcentral. Lineage: Eukaryota; Metazoa; Chordata; Mammalia; Rodentia; Muridae.
UGAAUUUUCAAGUUUGAACAAAGGUGGAC